GAUGAACGCUGGCGGCGUGCCUAAUACAUGCAAGUCGAGCGAACAGACGAGGAGCUUGCUCCUUCGACGUUAGCGGCGGACGGGUGAGUAACACGUAGGUAACCUACCUAUAAGACUGGGAUAACUUCGGGAAACCGGAGCUAAUACCGGAUAAUAUUUCGAACCGCAUGGUUCGAUAGUGAAAGAUGGCUUUGCUAUCACUUAUAGAUGGACCUGCGCCGUAUUAGCUAGUUGGUAAGGUAACGGCUUACCAAGGCAACGAUACGUAGCCGACCUGAGAGGGUGAUCGGCCACACUGGAACUGAGACACGGUCCAGACUCCUACGGGAGGCAGCAGUAGGGAAUCUUCCGCAAUGGGCGAAAGCCUGACGGAGCAACGCCGCGUGAGUGAUGAAGGUCUUCGGAUCGUAAAACUAUGUUAUUAGGGAAGAACAAACGUGUAAGUAACUGUGCACGUCUUGACGGUACCUAAUCAGAAAGCCACGGCUAACUACGUG
This 497-nucleotide ribosomal RNA is filed under the name uncultured bacterium. Its description in RNAcentral is "partial 16S ribosomal RNA". It matches the Rfam family "Bacterial small subunit ribosomal RNA", at positions 28 to 507 of the family's 1533-position model. The record is from RNAcentral.